CUAUGCGCCUUGCCAGCCGCUCAGGUGUGCCAGCCGCCGCGGUAAUACGGAGGAUGCGAGCGUUAUCCGGAUUUAUUGGGUUUAAAGGGUGCGUAGGCGGAUUUUUAAGUCAGCGGUAAAAUGUCCGGGCUCAACCCGGGCCGGCCGUUGAAACUGGGGAUCUUGAGUGGGCGAGAAGUAUGCGGAAUGCGUGGUGUAGCGGUGAAAUGCAUAGAUAUCACGCAGAACUCCGAUUGCGAAGGCAGCAUACCGGCGCCCGACUGACGCUGAGGCACGAAAGCGUGGGGGAUCGAACAGG
Molecule: ribosomal RNA, 298 nt
Filed under: uncultured bacterium
Lineage: Bacteria
Description: partial 16S ribosomal RNA
Rfam family: Bacterial small subunit ribosomal RNA
Source: RNAcentral